AUACGUAGGGUGCAAGCGUUAAUCGGAAUUACUGGGCGUAAAGCGUGCGCAGGCGGUUCGGAAAGAAGGAUGUGAAAUCCCAGGGCUCAACCUUGGAACUACAUUCUUAACUACCGAACUAGAGUAUGUCAGAGGGGGGUAGAAUUCCGCGUGUAGCAGUGAAAUGCGUAGAUAUGCGGAGGAAUACCGAUGGCGAAGGCAGCCCCCUGGGAUAAUACUGACGCUCAUGCACGAAAGCGUGGGUAGCAAACAGGAUUAGAUACCCUGGUAGUCCACGCCCUAAACGAUGUCAACUAGCUGUUGGGCCCUUCGGGGCUUAGUAGCGUAGCUAACGCGUGAAGUUGACCGCCUGGGGAGUACGGUCGCAAGAUUAAAACUCAAAUGAAUUGGCGGGG
RNAcentral lists this ribosomal RNA (395 nucleotides) under uncultured bacterium. Its description in RNAcentral is "partial 16S ribosomal RNA". It matches the Rfam family "Bacterial small subunit ribosomal RNA", at positions 523 to 918 of the family's 1533-position model. The record is from RNAcentral.